Molecule: ribosomal RNA, 574 nt
Filed under: uncultured bacterium
Lineage: Bacteria
Description: partial 16S ribosomal RNA
Rfam family: Bacterial small subunit ribosomal RNA
Source: RNAcentral
UGGGGAAUUUUGGACAAUGGGCGAAAGCCUGAUCCAGCAAUGCCGCGUGUGUGAAGAAGGCCUUCGGGUUGUAAAGCACUUUUGUCCGGAAAGAAAUCCUUGGCUCUAAUACAGUCGGGGGAUGACGGUACCGGAAGAAUAAGCACCGGCUAACUACGUGCCAGCAGCCGCGGUAAUACGUAGGGUGCAAGCGUUAAUCGGAAUUACUGGGCGUAAAGCGUGCGCAGGCGGUUUGCUAAGACCGAUGUGAAAUCCCCGGGCUCAACCUGGGAACUGCAUUGGUGACUGGCAGGCUAGAGUAUGGCAGAGGGGGGUAGAAUUCCACGUGUAGCAGUGAAAUGCGUAGAGAUGUGGAGGAAUACCGAUGGCGAAGGCAGCCCCCUGGGCCAAUAUCGCGUCAUGCACGAAAGCGUGGGGAGCAAACAGGAUUAGAUACCCUGGUAGCCCACGCCCUAAACGAUGUCAACUAGUUGUUGGGGAUUCAUUUCCUUAGUAACGUAGCUAACGCGUGAAGUUGACCGCCUGGGGGAGUACGGUCGCAAGAUUAAAACUCAAAUGAAUUGACGGGGUCAUA